Long non-coding RNA from Scophthalmus maximus (turbot), 2121 nucleotides. RefSeq lists it as uncharacterized. The transcript is spliced from 3 exons. The record is from RefSeq and is a predicted model, not a curated record. NCBI's taxonomy places the organism in Eukaryota, Metazoa, Chordata, Actinopteri, Pleuronectiformes, Scophthalmidae.
UCAAAUAUUUGUAGUUCAUACUUUACCUUGAGCACGGUACUCCCUGGAGGCGGCACAGUGAGAACUGAGACUCCAUGGCUCACACCUCCCGUCCGCCAGCAGCGCGCAGACCAACAGUCCUUACCUUCUAAAUAUGAAUCAAUUGUUCAGACAAGACUAGUUGAAGUCUGAGGUGCUCGGAGCAGCUAAUCCCGAGCUGUGAUGUCACACUGAAGGGCACGUUCGUCCCUCUGGAAAAGAAGUAAUCGACCUUGACCCCAGGGGACUACAGACCGCGUGAGACGGCUUCACAAUCCUGAGACUCUGAAUCCAGCUGUGCUCCCGAGACUAAUUAUGACCUUUUCUUUCAUUACAAUUAUCAAAAUGAGGCGAGAACCUAAUCAUAUUACAACCAGAUAUCGUGUGUGUGUGUGUGUGUGUUCCAUGACUAACUGAAAAGCUCGGUCUAACGCUCCUGUGCCGUGCGUGUGGAUUAACUGUAUGAACAAGCGAGGCCACUGGUGUGCGACUUGUUGUCACUGUGGCAGCACCAGUGAUCAUGACAAUCAACUUAAUGAUGAUGAGUUAUGAGAAUACAGUCUGUUGGUGUGGUGCAGCUAUGAGGCCAUCACGCGUAUUGAUUGAUUUUCUCUGCUCCUGUUUUGUAAGAUUGUAAAACCGGCACAGAUUUCCAUACGUUCCCUUUUCUCAUUCCUCCGCUGACCUUCGGGGUUCUCUUAGCAUUUCUAAAGGUGCGUUCACCCACAACGUGGAGCGAAUCUUGAUUAUAUCUGUUUGAAAUCAACUUGUGGACCAAACUCAUGUUAGCUCUAAACUAGCAGGGAUGUGCACAUAUUUUAUAUUUAAUCUGUGUUCACCGUGUGCACAAGUGCGAGCGCUAAAAUUCUCUUCACACACACGACGUCUUUGGCUUUGGUUUUGUGUGUGCGAGAAGAAAUGGUUAUUUUUUGCCAUCUCACGCAAUUUAGAGGUGGAACGCAAUGUUAUAUGUUCUGUGCUGCCACAAAAUGUAUCUAGGCUUAGAUUUAUACUGUAUAUCUCUGUAUGUUUCCCUUCAUUUUUCAAUAGAUUAUCAUGUUAAACCAUCAAAUAAAGGAUAUACAUUGUACCUGUGGAUUUGACAAGCUGCAAACGCUGCACGACUACAAGGCAGACGAAUGCAAUUCAUUGCAGUUUAGAACUUGGGAUAAAUACAUUUGAAGACUUGGACGAGAUGUCAAGCCCCAGUGUGAUGAGGUCAUUCUCUGGCGGCAUCUGGUGGUGAAGUUGCAAACUGCAGCCAACUGAGCACAACUUUCAUAAAUGAGGGUUGUGUGAGUAUGUAUCCCAUCUUCACCACUCAGGUGAAGAAAUGGUGAAUCCAACAACUCGUUACAGACUAAGGAUAAAGUAGAGUCAGUGUCACAACUAAUAUUCAUCUUUAUCUUCAUUUGUUUUGCAGUUUUUUGACUCUUCCUCCUGAUCAUCAAAUCAACCUUUAACGGGACAAAUCGGGGGAAUCCGCCUUUAAUUAAUUAGCAGCUGGUGGUACCUGAUUACAGUGGCAGCACCUGGGCCGACUCGGGCAGCCAAUCAGCGUCCGCCCUGCGCACUGAUAUAGUUUGGGCAGCUCGCGGCGCGAGCGCAUAGGAAACGAACCGAGACACGAGAAGACACGAGUCGAGACGAGUCCAGACGAGUAGACACGAAGAUACGAGAAGACACGAGUCGUCACGAGUCCGGUUCACGGUUCAACACGUUGAACGUUGUGAACCUCGUUACUGCACAAGUUGUCAAGUUACAACGAACUGUGGAGACGAUUUGUGUCGAGUGAGUGAAACGACCGGACGAGACCUCACCUGCGGCGUCCAGGUGAAUGUUGAACUGUGUGGAAGAAGAUGAUCAGACAGACACGGACUCAGUGAUGUGGACCUGCCUGGCCCUUCUCCUGGGCCCUUCACCUGGGCCCUUCACCUGGGCCCUUCACCUGGGUUCAUAUCAAGGAUGAAUCGCUCCUGAACGUUGAGGAAGAGAGGAUCUGGACAAAGGGGCGGAGCCAGGGAUGUUUUAUUUCUUUCUUUAACAUUUUUUAACAUGAUGUUUCAGAGAAUAAUUCAUGGAUUUUGAUGAAUGAGACCAAAC